CCAGUGGGCCUCGAUCCCACAAAUACUAGUUAACAGCUAGCCGCCCAAACCAGCGGGCAUUAAUCCAGUCUCCUUCUCAAAAAAGGAGACAAGUCCAGGGUUCUUUAUAAACCUAAUCCGAAUUUGCACUUCGGGCUCUUGGACU
This 145-nucleotide transfer RNA is filed under the name Kinyongia boehmei. RNAcentral's name for it is "partial transfer RNA-Cys". The record is from RNAcentral. Lineage: Eukaryota; Metazoa; Chordata; Lepidosauria; Squamata; Chamaeleonidae.